AUCUGUAAACCUAUUUCGUGACAUUUAUAGAGCAAUUGUUUUAUUUUUAGGAUAUAAGGGGAGACUAACUUCAUUUUCAGGUGGUUGCCUACUACUGCCUGCAGACAGCUUUUAGCAUCUGAGAAGAUUAUGGCCUUGGGGAUUUUGUGCGAUUCAGCAUAUGCCAAGGCUUCCAUAAGAGCAAUGGAUUCGCCAGUGAAGACAGAAGCCUGAGGUGGACAUUUAUAUGGUAGGAGGAUACGAUACCUAGGGAUCCAUACCGCGGCUCCCACAUAGCUUCCAGGUCCCAAUUUUGAGGCGUCAGUAAAAAUGGAUGCCUCAUCAGACAGGGCCUGUAAUCUCGAAGUGAGCGGGUGAUCCGAUAAGGAACAGGCCUUAAAUACGUAUCGGUCUGACAAAAGUUGCCUUCGAAUGAAGAGGGGAGGAUCCACACACUCAACCUGUAAAGCAUUCUUGGGGUUCGAGAAUAAAUGAGGCAUAAUCAAUUUGGCUACGAAUCAGUGCAUUGUAUAGCAACUUUUGGCAGUAGGGGUGUGCACCCCACCAGACUCCAGAAAGGGCGCGGAGAACAUUGAUACCUCUCUCGCAUUUACCAACUACAUAGUUAAGGUGAUGAAUACCAGACAUUUUGGAGUCCAAAAAUACACCAAGAAACUUCACAAAGUUGCAGCUAGGAAUAAUUUGGUCCUCAUAUUGAAGGUUGACAGCAGGAAUAGUUUGCCGACGUGUGAAGGUCACUGUACAGCUUUUAGAAGGGGAAAGAGAUAGACCAUGAUCAUCUAACCAGUCAUUCAGAUAUGCUAGAGCCUCAUUGAGUCUGUCAGCUGCUUCGUCGGUAUGAUGAGCUGUGGAGUAAAUGACCAAGUCAUCUGCAUACUGGAGGAUGCUGCAGAAAGGGGAGACAGAUUGCUCUAUAUCAUAGGUAUAUAGGUUAUAAAGAAUGGGACUAAGGACAGAGCCUUGAGGAAGGCCUCGCCAUACAGUAAGCGGAGAGUACAUAGUAUUCCCAAACCGAAUUUUAAUCGUUCUGCCCAUGAAUAGCUUAAAAAUAAUGUCGACUAUUCUCGAUGGAAUGCUCAGCUGACGCAGUUUUGCUCUGAGCAGAGGUAGUUGGACAUUAUCGUAUGCAGCGGAGAUGUCAAGAAAGCAUCCAACUAGUUGCUGUUUUUUAGAGAGUGCCAAUCUGAUAUCAGAGGUGUUCGAAGAUUUUACCCAUAGUGGCAGAUAGAGCUAUGGGGCGAUAAGAAGUGGAUUGCUGCGGGUCCUUGCCUGGCUUCAAGAUUGGGAUUACAAUCUGUGACUUCCAAUCCUCUGGGACCUCCCCCGACAUGAAGAACGAGUUGUAUAUUUGCAGGAGGAAUUCAGUGCAAGGGGGACUUAGUUUUUGGAUAAAGCAGUAUGGGAUGCCGUCCUCCCCGGGUGAGCUGUUACGUAGUCCUCUUAAAGCAAUAUCCAGUUCUGAGGUUGUAAAAGGGCUGUCAAAGUGAUGAUAUGUUGGGUGAGUGUCUUGAUGUGUAUAACAUUCCUCAGGCACAAACGGAGGAGCUAGUUUGUUGGCAAAUUCUCCUAGCCAGGUUGAAGGGUCACAUGAUGCUGUAGGGUCUGAUUUGAAGGAGCCUCUGAAUUUCUUAAUGUUUCUCCAUACCAAUGAUGGAGGGGUUUUAGGGUUUAGACUUUCGCAGAAGCCCUUCCAUCCUGCUUUUUUUGAUUUGUUAAGGCAGCGUUUAGUUUGAGCAGAUAUUUUUUUGAAAAGGGUGAAAUCUGAAGUUAGGCCUGAUCUAUUGUAUUUACGUUCUGCCAUGUCUCGCUCCUUGACAGCUUUUGUGCAGUCUGCGUUCCACCAGGG
RNAcentral lists this long non-coding RNA (1846 nucleotides) under Leguminivora glycinivorella. RNAcentral describes it as "uncharacterized LOC125231946". Lineage: Eukaryota; Metazoa; Arthropoda; Insecta; Lepidoptera; Tortricidae. The record is from RNAcentral.